UCCCUGGUUGAUCCUGCCAGUAGUGAUAUGCUUGUCUCAAAGAUUAAGCCAUGCAUGUUUAAGUACAUACCGAAUUACGGUGAAACCGCGAAUGGCUCAUUAAAUCAGUUAUGGUUCCUUAGAUUGUACCCACAUUUACUUGGAUAACUGUGGUAAUUCUAGAGCUAAUACAAGCAAACUAGAGUUCCAACCAGAGAUGGAAGGAACGCUUUUAUUAGAUCAAAACCAAUCGGUGGUCUCGACCAUCGUUUACUUUGGUGACUCUGAAUAACUUUUAGCUGAUCGUAUGGUCUCGUACCGACGACAAAUCUUUCAAAUGUCUGCCUUAUCAACUGUCGAUGGUAGGUUCUGCGCCUACCAUGGUUGUAACGGGUAACGGGGAAUCAGGGUUCGAUUCCGGAGAGGGAGCCUGAGAAACGGCUACCACAUCCAAGGAAGGCAGCAGGCGCGCAAAUUACCCACUCCCGGCACGGGGAGGUAGUGACGAAAAAUAACGAUACGGGACUCAUCCGAGGCCUCGUAAUCGGAAUGAGUACACUUUAAAUCCUUUAACGAGGAACAAUUGGAGGGCAAGUCUGGUGCCAGCAGCCGCGGUAAUUCCAGCUCCAAUAGCGUAUAUUAAAGUUGUUGCGGUUAAAAAGCUCGUAGUUGAAUCUGUGUGCCACACUGUCGGUUCACCGCUCGCGGUGUAAACUGGCAUGCUUGUGGGACGUCCUACCGGUGGAUUUAGCUUUAGUGUAAAAACUAAAGCGGUCCAAUAAUCCUGUCGCGGUGCUCUUAAUUGAGUGUCGAGAUGGGCCGGUACGUUUACUUUGAACAAAUUAGAGUGCUCAAAGCAGGCUUAUUAUCGCCUGAAUACUGUGUGCAUGGAAAUAAUAGAAUAGGAUCUCGGUUCUAUUUUGUUGGUUUUCGGAAUUCCGAGAUAAUGAUUAAUAGGGACAGAUGGGGGCAUUCGUAUUGCGACGUUAGAGGUGAAAUUCUUGGAUCGUCGCAAGACGAACAGAAGCGAAAGCAUUUGCCAAAAAUGUUUUCAUUAAUCAAGAACGAAAGUUAGAGGUUCGAAGGCGAUCAGAUACCGCCCUAGUUCUAACCAUAAACGAUGCCAGCUAGCGAUCCGCCGAAGUUCCUCCGAUGACUCGGCGGGCAGCUUCCGGGAAACCAAAGCUUUUGGGUUCCGGGGGAAGUAUGGUUGCAAAGCUGAAACUUAAAGGAAUUGACGGAAGGGCACCACCAGGAGUGGAGCCUGCGGCUUAAUUUGACUCAACACGGGAAACCUCACCAGGCCCGGACACCGGAAGGAUUGACAGAUUGAUAGCUCUUUCUUGAUUCGGUGGGUGGUGGUGCAUGGCCGUUCUUAGUUGGUGGAGCGAUUUGUCUGGUUAAUUCCGAUAACGAACGAGACUCUAGCCUGCUAAAUAGACGUAUUUCUGGUAUCUUGAAGGUCUACAGUUUUCGGAUUGUAGAUUUUUACUACCGACGUACUAAAACUCUUCUUAGAGGGACAGGCGGCUUCUAGUCGCACGAGAUUGAGCAAUAACAGGUCUGUGAUGCCCUUAGAUGUUCUGGGCCGCACGCGCGCUACACUGAAGGAAUCAACGUGUCUUCCCUGGCCGAAAGGCCCGGGUAACCCGCUGAACCUCCUUCGUGCUAGGGAUUGGGGCUUGCAAUUAUUCCCCAUGAACGAGGAAUUCCCAGUAAGCGCGAGUCAUAAGCUCGCGUUGAUUACGUCCCUGCCCUUUGUACACACCGCCCGUCGCUACUACCGAUUGAAUGAUUUAGUGAGGUCUUCGGACUGAUACACGGCAAUGUUUCGGCAUUGCCGAUGUUGUUGGAAAGAUGACCAAACUUGAUCAUUUAGAGGAAGUAAAAGUCGUAACAAGGUUUCCGUAGGUGAACCUGCGGAAGGAUCAUUA
This 1913-nucleotide ribosomal RNA is filed under the name Chelonus insularis. RNAcentral describes it as "small subunit ribosomal RNA". It matches the Rfam family "Eukaryotic small subunit ribosomal RNA". The record is from RNAcentral. Lineage: Eukaryota; Metazoa; Arthropoda; Insecta; Hymenoptera; Braconidae.